This 330-nucleotide ribosomal RNA is filed under the name Triticum aestivum (bread wheat). RNAcentral describes it as "partial small subunit ribosomal RNA". The record is from RNAcentral. Lineage: Eukaryota; Viridiplantae; Streptophyta; Magnoliopsida; Poales; Poaceae.
AUGAAAAUAAUUGGCUUUCAUCCGUUUUCUGAGCCGUUCGAUCUCUGUCCUGAGAUUCCAUUGCUACCGCGGCCUUUGUCCCUUCCACUCUCUCGUUCCCUUUGUCAUUUCCCACACGCAACCGAACAGAGUCGAGAGAGAGGGAGAGAGGGGUCCAUGGCGACUUGGAGCUCUCCUAUCCGGCGGCUUAGUUCACUAGGGUGGUCGUCAGGCGUCCAACGUUCUUCCUCCAGCUGCCCCCUGGCUAUCCCCGCACGGAAGUCUGCAGCAUCUCUCGGGCACCGCACCCACCUGGCCCCCAAUUUUCCCCCGCCGGCAUUUCUGGCCUGA